GGUCUGCGGCCGGAGAAGAAGGCCCCUUCACUAGUGACAUCUGCAAAGACCCCAUUUCCAAAUAAAGCCACCUUCUGAGAUUCCAGGUGGAGCCUCCUGAACUCACUCACUACACCAGCCACGACCUCUUGGUUGUGGGCGUUUGCUAGUACAACACUGUGUCCCCAUCGCCCUGCCCUGCCUGCACCCAGAGCUGGCCGCCCCAUCCUCCCCGGGACAGGCCUCUCUUGAGGUCUGGCCUCGGCCUUUGGGCGCCCGGUCUCCAGGGUCCUUGCGCAGGAGGAACGGAGCCCCGCCCUCCGUGAGGGCAGAAAUGAUGGCACCCCAGACCUGGACAGGGGAACGGAGCCUGCACAGCUUCCCUGGAACAGCUUCCCAGGGCCAUUUCUGUCAUUUAAGGCAAUUACAGGCGAGUCCAAGUGCCCAAUAAACCACAGCAAUUCA
Non-coding RNA from Castor canadensis (American beaver), 444 nucleotides. NCBI's taxonomy places the organism in Eukaryota, Metazoa, Chordata, Mammalia, Rodentia, Castoridae. The record is from RefSeq and is a predicted model, not a curated record.